AGAGUUUGAUCCUGGCUCAGAAUGAACGCUGGCGGCGUGGAUUAGGCAUGCAAGUCGAACGAGAAUGCGAUCUUCGGAUCGCUAGUACAGUGGCGAACGGGUGAGUAACGCGUGGGAAACCUGCCCUCGAGUGGGGAAUAACAACUCUAACGGGUUGCUAAUACCGCAUAACAUUGCGGGCCGCAUGGUCUGCAAUCAAAGGUGGCCUCUACUUGUAAGCUGUCGCUUGAGGAUGGUCCCGCGUCCCAUUAGCUAGUUGGUAGGGUAACGGCCUACCAAGGCGACGAUGGGUAGCCGGCCUGAGAGGGUGGUCGGCCACACUGGAACUGAGACACGGUCCAGACUCCUACGGGAGGCAGCAGUCGAGAGGCUUCGGCAAUGGGGGAAACCCUGACCGAGCGACGCCGCGUGGGUGAUGAAGUCCUUCGGGAUGUAAAACCCUGUCAUACGGGAUGAAAAACUGAUCGGUUAACAGCCUUUCAGUUUGACAGUACUGUAAGAGGAAGCUCCGGCUAACUCCGUGCCAGCAGCCGCGGUAAUACGGGGGGAGCGAGCGUUAUUCGGAUUUACUGGGCGUAAAGGGUUCGUAGGCGGUCAAGUAAGUCAGGGGUGAAAUCUAACGGCUUAACCGUUAAACUGCCCUUGAAACCGCUUGACUUGAGGACAUGAGAGGAAAGCGGAAUUCUUGGUGUAGCGGUGAAAUGCGUGGAUAUCAAGAGGAACACCGGUGGCGAAGGCGGCUUUCUGGCAUGUUACUGACGCUGAGGAACGAAAGUCAGGGGAGCGAACGGGAUUAGAUACCCCGGUAGUCCUGACUGUAAACGAUGGGCACUAGGUGUGGGAGGUAUCGACCCCUUCCGUGCCGCAGCUAACGCAUUAAGUGCCCCGCCUGGGGAGUACGGCCGCAAGGUUGAAACUCAAAGGAAUUGACGG
RNAcentral lists this ribosomal RNA (933 nucleotides) under uncultured Bacillota bacterium. RNAcentral's name for it is "bacterial SSU rRNA". It matches the Rfam family "Bacterial small subunit ribosomal RNA", at positions 8 to 916 of the family's 1533-position model. The record is from RNAcentral. Lineage: Bacteria; Bacillati; Bacillota.